UGAAUGAUAGAAUAAAGAGAUACUGACUUCCCCGGAGCCUCCAAACUUGAGUAGUCAGGCAUUGGGAUCCGUGGAAGGCUUGUUAAAUCCAAAUAGAUUGGUCCUACUCCAUCCGCAGAGUUGCUGACGAGGUGCGUCCAGGCCUUCUCCUCACCUCUCAGGGAGAUAUACCAUGCAGUGCCUUCAGUUAUGGUGUUGUGACUGAGGAUGCUUCGGUCAGACAUGUCCCUGAAAACCUGCAUAGAGCUGCACUUCAAGGGAAGUUAUUGAAUAUGUCCUAUCCAACUAAAACAAGGAAAUGAUGAAAAAAAUAAAAUCACUUUCCAGAGGCCUCAGGGCUAACUGGAGACAGAGCUCAGACUGCAACUGAGAAAAGUUGGACUCCAAAACCUGUACUCUGAGCUUUACUGCAUGAGAAAGUUAUUGAAAUGUGCCUUGUGACAUUCAGAAUAAGUGACUUUUCAGAGGUCUCAGAGUCAGUAAGAGACAGAACUCAGAUUGUAACCAAGAAGAGCUGAACUCCAAACUUCUGUGUCCGGAAUUGGUGGGUUCUUGGUCUCACUGACUUCAAGAAUGAAGCGGCAGACCCUCGCGGGCCAGGUCUGCUCAGCAACUCAGUAUGUUGACUUUAUUUCCUGAGAGAGAAACAGAGAGAAGAAAAGAAAGAGGAGGA
This 673-nucleotide long non-coding RNA is filed under the name Homo sapiens (human). RNAcentral's name for it is "novel transcript". The record is from RNAcentral. Lineage: Eukaryota; Metazoa; Chordata; Mammalia; Primates; Hominidae.